This 29-nucleotide small RNA is filed under the name Bombyx mori (domestic silkworm). Its description in RNAcentral is "ovarian small RNA-19236". The record is from RNAcentral. Lineage: Eukaryota; Metazoa; Arthropoda; Insecta; Lepidoptera; Bombycidae.
UAAGCAAGCACUGUAACAUCCUUCAAAGC